This 336-nucleotide unclassified non-coding RNA is filed under the name soil metagenome. Its description in RNAcentral is "partial contains 5.8S ribosomal RNA, internal transcribed spacer 2, and large subunit ribosomal RNA". The stretch from base 1 to 120 matches the Rfam family "5.8S ribosomal RNA", at positions 35 to 154 of the family's 154-position model. The record is from RNAcentral.
GAUGAAGAACGAAGUGAAAUGCGAUAAGUAAUGUGAAUUGCAGAAUUCAGUGAAUCAUCGAAUCUUUGAACGCACAUUGCGCCCGCCAGUAUUCUGGCGGGCAUGCCUGUUCGAGCGUCAUUUCAACCAUCAAGCCCCCGGCUUGUGUUGGGGACCUGCGGCUGCCGCAGGCCCUGAAAAGCAGUGGCGGGCUCGCUGUCACACCGAGCGUAGUAGCAUACAUCUCGCUCUGGGCGUGCUGCGGGUUCCGGCCGUUAAACCACCUUCAUAACCCAAGGUUGACCUCGGAUCAGGUAGGAAGACCCGCUGAACUUAAGCAUAUCAAUAAGCGGAGGA